RNAcentral lists this long non-coding RNA (483 nucleotides) under Cyanistes caeruleus (blue tit). RNAcentral describes it as "lncRNA (ENSCCEG00000022817.1)". Lineage: Eukaryota; Metazoa; Chordata; Aves; Passeriformes; Paridae. The record is from RNAcentral.
CUCCUCCAGAUAUGCCUUUGACAAGAAAUUUGUCAGUACUUUCACCUCUGACUCGGGGCCAAACAUACUAGUGCAGAGAUGGAAUAGGAGAGCUAGCCAUAGGAAGUGCUUGCAGACACAGUUCUACCCAUCUAAAGGAGAGCUUUUGCAACAGUGCACUGAGUAACUGGUGUAGAAUUACAAGACAGCAGAACACUCGGUCCUAAAGUCACACUAGAAGCUGGAAUAGGAGGAAUCUGUACUAAAAUCUCCUUGUGGGGCUGCCCUGGAGGCUUUGAGUGACUGUGACUUUUGCUUACAUGAAAUAGAAAAUCACCCUUGUACCAGUUGUUAGCUAGCCACUCCUACCAGGAAUGAGCUCGUAAGGACUUGCUUUUCUUUGUUUACUGUCAUGCUCUGCUCUGACGGAGUCACAAGUUUGUCAAGGCAUUUUACUCUGUCAAGAAAUGAAUAAAAUAACUUACACUGAUAAAAUAAUGAAAC